Molecule: ribosomal RNA, 831 nt
Filed under: uncultured bacterium
Lineage: Bacteria
Description: bacterial SSU rRNA
Rfam family: Bacterial small subunit ribosomal RNA
Source: RNAcentral
GGGUGAAAGUCCAGGGCUCAACUCUGGGAUUGCCUUGGAACUGCGUGACUUGAGUACUGGAGAGGCAAGGGGAAUUCCGCGUGUAGCGGUGGAAUGCGUAGAUAUGCGGAGGAAUACCAGUGGCGAAGGCGCCUUGCUGGACAGUGACUGACGCUGAGGCACGAAAGCGUGGGGAGCAAACAGGAUUAGAUACCCUGGUAGUCCACGCCGUAAACGAUGAGUGCUAGGUGUUGGGGGGUACCACCCUCAGUGCCGAAGGAAACCCAAUAAGCACUCCGCCUGGGGAGUACGGUCGCAAGACUGAAACUCAAAGGAAUUGACGGGGGCCCGCACAAGCAGUGGAGCAUGUGGUUUAAUUCGAAGCAACGCGAAGAACCUUACCAGGGCUUGACAUCCCCCUGAUCGUCACAGAGAUGUGGCUUUCCUUCGGGGCAGGGGAGACAGGUGGUGCAUGGUUGUCGUCAGCUCGUGUCGUGAGAUGUUGGGUUAAGUCCCGCAACGAGCGCAACCCUUGAGCUGUGUUACCAGCGCGUAAAGGCGGGGACUCACAGGUGACUGCCGGCGUAAGUCGGAGGAAGGCGGGGAUGACGUCAAAUCAUCAUGCCCUUUAUGUCCUGGGCUACACACGUGCUACAAUGGGCGGAACAACGGGAAGCGAGACCGCGAGGGGGAGCAAAACCCUGAAAACCGUUCGUAGUUCGGAUUGCAGGCUGCAACCCGCCUGCAUGAAGCCGGAAUUGCUAGUAAUCGCGGAUCAGCAUUCCGCGGUGAAUCCGUUCCCGGGCCUUGUACACACCGCCCGUCACACCACGAGAGUCGGCAACACCCGAA